This is a non-coding RNA of Vicugna pacos (alpaca), 921 nucleotides long. Lineage: Eukaryota; Metazoa; Chordata; Mammalia; Artiodactyla; Camelidae. The record is from RefSeq and is a predicted model, not a curated record.
GUGGUCAGGGAGGCUGGGUUGCCCAACGUGGAACCAGAGAACCCAGCCGGGACCCCUAAGGGCCGACUGUUCUUCUCGUAGGUGAGGACACUGGGGACCUGGCAGACGCUGCUACCAGUUUGGGGCAUACCCCGGAAGUUGCUGCUGCUUCUUGUGCAGAAUCUGGUGACCGUGUAUCCCAGGGACCCAGGCACCGAGGCCAGCUGGGUCAGCACAGACUGGACUUGGAGCCGGAAAAGAUGGCAGGAGGAGCAAGCAGGAAGAAGCCCUGAGGCUGGCAGAAUUAGAUGCACUGAGAAUAGAGACGUGCCUAGAAUGGAGUAAGCACUGGGUGGUAUUAAGUACCAACAGUAUCAUGAAGACCGUGGCCGAGUCUUUGCCCAACUGGAGAGAAGAGGGACCCAGGAGCUCUCAGCCAUCCCAUCCACCACAACCCGGAACCUGUGCACAGUGAUGGAUAUCGGGUGAGAGGAAGAGAGGAAUCCAGGGAGCCUGCAGGCACUGGGCUUCAACAACCAGGACGAUGGAGUUGCCAUUUUGGAGGUGGAGACCCUGCCAAGGAGUGGGUUUGCCAGGAGUUCUGUUUUGAAAGUGCAGUCUUCCUGUGACUCUUAAUUUUUGGCCUUUCCCAAUCUUAGUUUCACCACAGAACUUUCUUUUCCAAAGCAUCUCUCAGGGAUAGUCUUCCAAUAAAGGCAAGUUCUGGGAAAUGUCUAAGGGAGAAGAGGAAUUGCAUGCAUGCUAUUAGUUAAAACACAAUAAAAUAAAGUCAUGAAAAUUAUCUUAAACCUUCCAUAAUCCUGUUGCUCUAACACAAAAAAUUACUUUUAUUCUCCAAUUCAUCUUCCAGAUAUGUUUUGCAUAGUUUAUUCAUUCACUCCACAAAUAUUUGUAGCAUUGAAAGAAGGCUGUUAUACAUAU